Molecule: ribosomal RNA, 422 nt
Filed under: uncultured Glomeromycotina
Lineage: Eukaryota; Fungi; Glomeromycota
Description: SSU rRNA
Rfam family: Eukaryotic small subunit ribosomal RNA
Source: RNAcentral
GGUAUGUACUGGCUUCGCUGAUUCCUCCUUUCUGAAGAACUGUAAUGUCAUUAAUUUGGUGUUGCAGGGAAACAGGACUGUUACUUUGAAAAAAUUAGAGUGUUUAAAGCAGGCUAACGCUUGAAUACAUUAGCAUGGAAUAAUGAAAUAGGACGUUCGAUCCUAUUUUGUUGGUUUCUAGGAUUGACGUAAUGAUUAAUAGGGAUAGUUGGGGGCAUUAGUAUUCAAUUGUCAGAGGUGAAAUUCUUGGAUUUAUUGAAGACUAACUACUGCGAAAGCAUUUGCCAAGGAUGUUUUCAUUAAUCAAGAACGAAAGUUAGGGGAUCGAAGACGAUCAGAUACCGUCGUAGUCUUAACCAUAAACUAUGCCGACUAGGGAUCGGAUGAUGUUAAUUUUUUAAUGACUCAUUCGGCGCCUUACG